GCCUCUAGGAACGGUUUCUGCAAACCUCUAUUCUGAGAUUGCCCAUAUUGAUGAGUAUGCUAAGGUUUGGCGAAGGGGGCAUUAGCUGAGUAGUUGUUGCAUCUGGGAGGAGCUGAAGAAGACGCUGGUGUCACAGGGUUGCUUUCAUACAUAUUUGGAAUAACCAGGACAGACUGGAAAGAAUGAAUAAAAACAAGCAAUAUGGUUACUACAAUCCUAUGCAAUUUCCCCUGGUACCAU
RNAcentral lists this long non-coding RNA (240 nucleotides) under Homo sapiens (human). Its description in RNAcentral is "HSALNT0175674". The record is from RNAcentral. Lineage: Eukaryota; Metazoa; Chordata; Mammalia; Primates; Hominidae.